Molecule: ribosomal RNA, 305 nt
Filed under: uncultured bacterium
Lineage: Bacteria
Description: partial 16S ribosomal RNA
Rfam family: Bacterial small subunit ribosomal RNA
Source: RNAcentral
ACAGCAGUAGCCGCGGUAAUACAGAGGGUGCGAGCGUUAAUCGGAUUUACUGGGCGUAAAGCGUGCGUAGGCGGCUUUUUAAGUCGGAUGUGAAAUCCCUGAGCUUAACUUAGGAAUUGCAUUCGAUACUGGGAAGCUAGAGUAUGGGAGAGGAUGGUAGAAUUCCAGGUGUAGCGGUGAAAUGCGUAGAGAUCUGGAGGAAUACCGAUGGCGAAGGCAGCCAUCUGGCCUAAUACUGACGCUGAGGUACGAAAGCAUGGGGAGCAAACAGGAUUAGAUACCCGUGUAGUACCUGUCUCUUAUAC